AACAACGGCAUUAGAAAAAUCACAUUUUAUUGGUUAAAAGAUUAAUUUAAAUACAACCCCAAUUCCAGAGAAUUUGGGACGUUUUGUAAUAAUGCAAUAAAGUCAAGAAUCUGUGAUCAGAUCAAAGUGAAAAGGUUAUAGAAUAUCCACUUUAAACGGUUUUGAAACAGUUCACAGUAAGCAGGUGAAUUGGUAAUAGGUCAAGGUAUCAUGUUUGGGUAUAAAAGGAGCAUCUCAGUCUUUGCAAGCAAAGCUGGAUCAUGGCUUUUCACUUUAUGCCAAAUUUCAUGAGAGAAGUGUCAAAUCAAAAAUCACAUUUCGUAAUGCAAAAUUGCAAAGAAUUCAGGUCUUUCACCAACUACCACACGUAAUAUUAUGAAAAUAUUCAGAGAAUCCCGAAAAAUCACAGUACAUGUUGGGCAAGGCAGGAAACCUCAGUUGAAUGUGCUUGACCUUUGAGCCCUCAGAUGGCAUUUCAUAAGAAACCCGUCAUGUUGCAGUGUUAAAUAUAGCCACAUGGGCUCAGGAGUACUUCUGAAAACUGCUGUCACUUAACACAGUCUGCUGCUGCAUCAAGAAAUGCAACUUGAAACUCUGUUACUCUAGGAGAAAGCUAUACAUCAAUUCUAUGCAGCGAUGCUGCCAGGUUCUCUGGGCCAGAGCUCAUCUCAGAUAGUCAAAAAGACAGUGGAAAGGUGUGCUGUACUCCGAUGAGUCCACCUUUCAACUUGUUUCUGGGAAAAAUGGAUUUGGAGGACUCCGUCCCAAAGACCAAAGGGAUCAUCCAGACUUUCAUCAGUGACGGAUGCAAAAGCAAACAUCUGUCAUGGUAUAUAAUAUGAGUGCAUCAGUGCAAACUACAUGGGUGACUUGCAUAUGUGUGACGGUACCAUCGACAUGGAGCCAUAUAUUGGAGUUGUACAGAGAAAUAUACUGCCGUCAAGAUGUCUUUCAUGGGAAGUCCAUGGUUAUUAGAUCAAGACAAUGCCAGCUCUCAUUCUGCAUGUGCUACAACAGCGUGGUUUCGUUGAGUCAGAGUGUAUGUGUUAGACUUGCCUACCUGCAGUCCAGAUCUGACUCCUAUUGCAAAUGUAUGACCAGUCAUGAAAAGGAGAAUCGGACAACGACGAUCACAGACUGCUGAGCAUCUGAAGCCUCGUUUCAAGAGAAACUGGACAAAAAUUUUGCUUGGAAAAACUUUAAUAAUUAGUAUCCUUAAUUCCCAAAACAAUGAAACAUUGUAGUUAAAAGGACAGUUGAUGUGACACAUUGUUAAACAUGCCUCUGUCCCAACUUUUUUUGAGUGUUGCAGCCAUCAAAAUUUGUUCAUAUUUACAAAAUACAUUUAUUUUGGAAAUCUUUUCUUUGCACUUUUGUCAAUGAAAUAAAAGUUAAAGAGAAUGAACAAAUCACAGAUUCUUGAUUUCACUGCAUUUUUACAAAACGUCCAACUUCUCUGGAAAUGGGGUUGUACCUCAGGGGUUUGGAGGUUGCAUUUCAGUUACUUACAUUUUUCUGCUGGCGUUUCUUUUUCUUCUGCCUUUUAGAUAAUCUGUAAUUAAAUGAACCAAUCAGUGGACAGGAACUGCCAAUAAUGCUUCCAGAUGCUCUUAUCCUUAUGUAUUGCAGUCAAUAUGAAAAACUACGAAAAAUAUUUAAAAUGUAAGGACAUUUUGUUGUUUGAGAGUUGGGACUCAGCGACUUGUCUUCCUCCUCCAGCUGUUGCCGAAGCAAUGCCACCAUCUCUCUGUGUUUCUUAGACUUCUCAUGGUUUUUCAUACUGUUAUGUGAGAAAAAAAUUAUACUGCUGCAUUAAAUACAUGUAAUGCAAGUUAUCUUGCGCAAAAGCAUGCUGUUCAUUUGAGAUGAUUUAAAAAAAUGUAAUUAAAGUAGAAAAACAACA
Molecule: long non-coding RNA, 1903 nt
Organism: Onychostoma macrolepis
Lineage: Eukaryota; Metazoa; Chordata; Actinopteri; Cypriniformes; Cyprinidae
Exons: 2
Source: RefSeq, a predicted model, not a curated record